Small nucleolar RNA from Sorex fumeus (smoky shrew), 132 nucleotides. RefSeq annotates it as small nucleolar RNA SNORA9. Lineage: Eukaryota; Metazoa; Chordata; Mammalia; Eulipotyphla; Soricidae. The transcript has a single exon. The record is from RefSeq and is a predicted model, not a curated record.
CUGCAAGCCUCCAGCAUGCUUGGGUCUGGAGGGACCCUGUGCAUUUCUAUAGUGCUUAAGAGAACAUUAUGAAAUAGUUUGAGGCCAUACGCUACCCAAUCCAGUGCAAGGUUACAGAAACUUUAGACAACU